GAUGAACGCUGGCGGCAUGCCUAACACAUGCAAGUCGAACGAAGCACAUGAGACAGCUUGCUGAGGAUUGUGACUUAGUGGCGAACGGGUGAGUAAUGCAUGAGCAACCUGCCCUUCAGUGGGGGACAACAGUUGGAAACGACUGCUAAUACCGCAUAACACUUCCGAAAGGCAUCUUUUGGAAGUCAAAGAUUUAUUGCUGAAGGAUGGGCUCAUGUCUGAUUAGCUAGUUGGUAGGGUAACGGCCUACCAAGGCGACGAUCAGUAGCCGGUCUGAGGAGGGUGACCGGCCACUAGUUGGGACUGAGACGACCGGACCCAAACUCCGUACGGGAGGCAGCAGG
RNAcentral lists this ribosomal RNA (344 nucleotides) under uncultured bacterium. RNAcentral describes it as "bacterial SSU rRNA". It matches the Rfam family "Bacterial small subunit ribosomal RNA", at positions 28 to 355 of the family's 1533-position model. The record is from RNAcentral.